UACCCUCGGGUGGGGGAUAACCUCGGGAAACUGAGGCUAAUACCCCAUAGGCCUCGGAUACUGGAAGGUUCCGAGACCGAAAGCUCCGGCGCCCGAGGAUGGGUCUGCGGCCUAUCAGGUAGUUGGUGGUGUAAAGGACCACCAAGCCUACGACGGGUACGGGCCCUGAGAGGGGGAGCCCGGAGAUGGACUCUGAGACACGAGUCCAGGCCCUACGGGGCGCAGCAGGCGCGAAACCUUCGCAAUGCGCGAAAGCGCGACGAGGGGAGCCCGAGUGCCCUUCCUUUCGGGAGGGCUUUUCUGGAGCCUAAAAAGCUCCAGGAAUAAGGGCUGGGCAAGACGGGUGCCAGCCGCCGCGGUAAUACCCGCAGCUCGAGUGGUGGCCACUAUUAUUGAGCCUAAAGCGUCCGUAGCCGGACCCGUAAAUCCCUGGGUAAAUCCUGGCGCUCAACGUCAGGAAUUCCGGGGAGACUGCGGGUCUUGGGACCGGGAGAGGCCGGAGGUACUCCCGGGGUAGGGGUAAAAUCCUGUAA
Molecule: ribosomal RNA, 533 nt
Filed under: uncultured archaeon
Lineage: Archaea
Description: bacterial SSU rRNA
Rfam family: Archaeal small subunit ribosomal RNA
Source: RNAcentral